Molecule: ribosomal RNA, 460 nt
Filed under: uncultured bacterium
Lineage: Bacteria
Description: partial 16S ribosomal RNA
Rfam family: Bacterial small subunit ribosomal RNA
Source: RNAcentral
CCUACGGGGGGCAGCAGUGAGGAAUAUUGGUCAAUGGACGAGAGUCUGAACCAGCCAAGUAGCGUGAAGGAUGACUGCCCUAUGGGUUGUAAACUUCUUUUAUAUGGGAAUAAAAUGUUCCACGUGUGGGAUUUUGUAUGUACCAUAUGAAUAAGGAUCGGCUAACUCCGUGCCAGCAGCCGCGGUAAUACGGAGGAUCCGAGCGUUAUCCGGAUUUAUUGGGUCUAAAGGGAGCGUAGGUGGAUUGUUAAGUCAGUUGUGAAAGUUUGCGGCUCAACCGUAAAAUUGCAGUUGAAACUGGCAGUCUUGAGUACAGUAGAGGUGGGCGGAAUUCGUGGUGUAGCGGUGAAAUGCUUAGAUAGCACGAAGAACUCCGAUUGCGAAGGCAGUUCACUGGACUGCAACUGACACUGAGGCUCGAAAGUGUGGGUAUCAAACAGGAUUAGAUACCCCAGUAGUC